AGGACGAACGCUGGCGGCGUGCUUAACACAUGCAAGUCGAGCGAGGCCCUUCCUUCGGGAAGGUGCCCUAGCGGCGAACGGGUGAGUAACACGUGGGCAACCUGCCCCUAGCACUGGGAUAACCCCGGGAAACCGGGCUAAUACCGGAUACGACCUCGAGAGGCAUCUCUCGUGGUGGAAAAAAGGUUACUGGCUAGGGAUGGGCCCGCGGCCUAUCAGCUUGUUGGUGGGGUAAUGGCCCACCAAGGCGACGACGGGUAGCCGGCCUGAGAGGGCGACCGGCCACACUGGGACUGAGACACGGCCCAGACUCCUACGGGAGGCAGCAGUGGGGAAUAUUGCACAAUGGGCGAAAGCCUGAUGCAGCGACGCCGCGUGAGGGAUGACGGCCUUCGGGUUGUAAACCUCUUUCAGCUCCGACGAAGCGAAAGUGACGGUAGGGCGAGAAGAAGCGACCGGCCAACUACGCGCCAGCAGCCGC
Molecule: ribosomal RNA, 481 nt
Filed under: uncultured bacterium
Lineage: Bacteria
Description: SSU rRNA
Rfam family: Bacterial small subunit ribosomal RNA
Source: RNAcentral